This is a long non-coding RNA of Drosophila yakuba, 1674 nucleotides long. RefSeq lists it as uncharacterized. The transcript has 2 exons. The record is from RefSeq and is a predicted model, not a curated record. Lineage: Eukaryota; Metazoa; Arthropoda; Insecta; Diptera; Drosophilidae.
GAGCCACGAACCCAAGAACAGGGCCCGAAUGGAGAAAGAUAUGGGUAGGGAGAAAGAGAGAGAAUCGAGAGAAGCGGGCUGAGAUACAGAUACAGAUACGUAGAAAGAGACAAGCGACGAGUAGCGAGCAGGAGCACUAAAACCAGCUUAGUGCACUGGGAACAUAUUUUUUAAACACAUUCGAAAUAACUAAAGAAAAUACUAAAAACUAAUCUUCAUAUUCAGGGAAUGUCAGAUACUCAUAUCAUGUCGUAUAAAUAUAUAGGCUAAAGAAAGGAUGCACACAAAUUUUCUUUUGUAUUACCUAGUAACUUUAUAUAAAGUUCAGGUUUUAAAGGAAACUAGUACGACAUUUCUCUCAGUGGAGGAGAGGAAUUAAACCGAACUCAACCCAACCGGCCGCCAGUCGCACGCUGCUAAGUGGACGAAUGGACCUGCAGACGGACUUAUAUGGAGACUGGCACUGGCGGAGCGUGGAACGUGCAUUCGUACGACGAGUUAUUGUCAGUUAGAGCGCUACCUGUUUACCGACCGACUACCGACUACCACCGACUGCUUUUUUGGGCCCGGUCGAGAGGGUUGGGUACAAUUGGCCCGGGUGUUGCCAGAUAGCUGCCCAUGGAUCGUUAUGGUGGCUUCACCCGCCAAGGAGGUGGAGGGUGUAACUCUGGUAGUCCCCUGUUUAUUGUUAUUCCUUCUUUUUUAGUGUGUGUUUUUUAGGGUGUAUUUUGUUCUUCGGCUUUUGUUGCGGUUUCAUUUGGGCGAAUGACUAAUCAGAAAGCAUUUUUAGGGAGGCAAGGUGAUAAGGUUUCUUCGAAGAAGGGGUUGCUAAGCGGUUGGGGUGAAAUAAACUGCAUUACUCACACGGAUUUACCUGCGAUGACAAGUUCUAAUGUUCUACUGAUAAGUAAAUAUGAUAUUGGCAUAUUUAGUUAGUACCUUUUGCAUUUAUAACCCAAUUGUGGAAAAUUUAUUUAUUUAUGCACUGAUGAUUAAUUGGAAAAUGUACAAUAUUUCAGCAGCCAAGUUGUAAAAUUCAUUUAUGGAAAUGGAUCGUAAAACAAUAUAAGUCUAGAAACCAUGUUAUCGCCAGACUGACUUUUAUUAAAGGUAAUUAAUCCCUAUAGACGAAGGCACGCAACGGAAUUCGUAAGCAAAAUUAAAAAAAAAAAAAUUAAUAAUGGAUUUCAGCUACUUUAAUAGGUCUUCAGUAAACCUUAGCGUUACUAUCCCAGCAAUCUGGCAACCUCUGCUGGCAAUGCAGCAUCAAUGCGGUCAAGAGGUAAAAGAAAAGACGGCAACAAAAAUACCAAAAAUCAGCGAGGGUCCAAAAGUAGAAGGAGUUACGUUUCGGCCACGACGAUGACGAUGGCGAUGAUCAUGGUCGUAAUGAUUCCGAGAUGCCGAAAAGGAAAAACCCGAAAAGUACCCAACAACAGAGAGUCGGAGCCGGAGCCAUGUAAUUAAGGUGGUGCUGCACAGUGGAACUAAAUUGUGGCUGCUGCCACUGCAAAAACAUUUGCUUAAGAAUAUACAGUAUACCCGCAUUAGAUAUCCAUGGUAAUGAGGUCACCGCUGUUUUUCUGAGUGCACGUCGCUUGAAGUAGCUUCCCUGCUUGCAUAUUUUGCAUCGCUUUACGAUUUUAAAAUAAAUUACUUGAAAUUUGUGUAAAA